RNAcentral lists this ribosomal RNA (1227 nucleotides) under Triticum aestivum (bread wheat). Its description in RNAcentral is "partial small subunit ribosomal RNA". The record is from RNAcentral. Lineage: Eukaryota; Viridiplantae; Streptophyta; Magnoliopsida; Poales; Poaceae.
AUGGGCAAACACCUGCAGAAGAGUGGUUUUACGCCCGAUUAUACGGUGUGGACAUAUCAUGGUGAGUCUGCCCAACGUGACCGAGCUGAGGUGGAUCGUCGUCGCACCGACGAGCAUGGUACCGGGAUGGAAAACAUGGUGCAAGACUUCGAUGAUGCUCGGGAUUCGGACGAGGAGAUGGAGGAAUCUGCAAAGGCCUUCAAUGAAAUGUUGGAGUCUUCAAAACGUCAGCUCCUCGAGCACACUGAGCUUUGUCAGUUGGAUGCCAUCUCACAAGUAAUGGCUCUGAAGGCUCAGUUCAACUUGGGUAGAGAAUGCUACGACGCAAUGAUGACAGUAUUUGGACGCUUUCUACCCAAAGGCCAUGUAAUGCCUGCAAACCUGUACCAGUCGGACAAAAUCCUCCGUGCACUGAAGAUACCCUAUGAGAAGAUACAUGCUUGUGAGAAAGGAUGUGUCUUAUUUAGGCUUGACUAUGCGGACUUGAACUAUUGUCCCAUUUGCAAGUCUUCCAGGUAUGUUGUGGUAGACAACGGUAUGGGUGAGAAGGCACAGACAAAAAUCCUCGUUAGUGUUCUUCGGUAUAUGCCAAUCGUACCAAGACUUCAACGACUUUUCAUGGUCGAAGAGACGGCCAGACAGAUGACAUGGCACAAAACGGGCAAAAGAACCAAACUAGAUGCAGAUGGGAAUCUAAUGAUCGUACACACAUCGGAUGGUGUUGCGUGGAAAAAGUUUGAUGAAUUACAUGCUGACAAAGCGGCAGAUCCAAGGCAUCCUCGAGUCGGCAUCAGCACGGAUGGGUUCAGUGUGUUUGGUCUGACGGCAGCCCAAUACAGUUGUUGGCUCGUAUUUGUCUUUCCACUCAAUCUCUCCCCCGGACAGAUUAUGCAAAGAAAGAACAUUUUCCUAACGUUGAUAAUUCCAGGGCCCAACUAUCCGAGGAAAAAUAUGAAUGUGUACAUGCAGCCGCUUAAGGAUGAAUUGCAAGAAGCCUGGGAUAAUGGGUUCAAGACAUACGAUGCCUAUAGCAAACGGAACUUCAUAAUGCGUGUCUGGUACAUGUACUCGACGCAUGACUUGCCAGCGUAUGCGCUAUUCGUUGGCUGGUGUGUGCAUGGAAGGUUCCCGUGCCCCACAUGCAAGGGAGCUCUUGAGUUUCGUUGGCUUCAGGCUGGUCGCAAGUUUUCUUGCUUCGACAUGCAUAGACAGUUAGCUCUAAAAUGA